GAGGCGCAUGCGCAGUUCUGUGCCCUGCUCUGAGGCGGGUUGGGGGGGGCGCUGCUCUCGGGCCGGAGGGGAUGAAACCUCCGUUUGUGUUUACGGAUGUGCAGCGGCACUGUGGGGUUCCUCCGUGUUCGUCCCAGAGAGGCGAGCCUUGGCGUGUUUCUGCUACCUGUCCAUCAGUAAUCUGACCCAGCCCGUAGCUCACAGAAGGCCUCGGUGCAUUCAGUGAGAGCUUCCAGAUGGCCCCUACUUCUGGAGAACAUCUGGAGCUGCCGUGAGAUAGCAGCUUUUCAACUGAGAUUACAGAGAGGAGAAAGCUGAAUGCCCAUCACUGCCCAGCUCAAAGCCUAAGAUGACAAGGGGAUGGCUGAAAACAGCUCUGGAACCUCUGGAACUGAAAUACACGUUUGGUAAUAUCUGAUUCAAGAUUGGCUGACAGGAUGACAGCAGCCUGCUGACAGAGCAGCUACAGCCUCCUGCCUUGGAGAUGAUGGAUAGUUUGUGGACAUGACGGAUAGUUUGUGGAGAUGACAGAGCAGUAGUAUGAUGAGAACUGAUGGAUGAGAGCAGCAAGUAUCUGGCUUCAGAGAAACUAGACGGGCUUUCCCCGAGGGCUGAAGGAGGAUGGUUAGAAGGGACAGUCCCGUGAUUCUCUGGCUACAGGGACAAAAACAGACUUGGAACAACUCAGACUUCCUUAUCUGCCUGUUCUGUCCCCUUUGCUGCUUCUCUCAAAUGAUUUGGGGGCCAUGCAUUGCAAAUUAAGCUAAUGUUGUGUUCCAGGCUAAGAAUAAUCUCCCCAGACAAGGAAAAAGGACAAGAAAACAGGGACAAGAACAGUGUCCUAAUGUACUUUUUUCAGUUCCCAUCACAGUAACCCUCUGUCGUCUCUUGGCAUCAUCUUAACUCUCAUCCUGUAGGUCCUGGUGAGGUACUUCCCUCAAGUACAGGUGCAGAGGUGUCUCACCAGUGAGCCUGCAGGCACAAACCAAACCAUGCUGUUGUCACAACUUUUGAGAUGCUCGCCUUUUCCAGACAGCACAGACCUCUAGUCUGCUUUGGCCUCUCUCAGGUCCCUUAAAGCAUCUCUUGGUGACAUCUGGGACACUGUAAGACAGAGCUGCAGCCAUUUCGGCUCAGCACAGCAGGGACAGCAGAGAUUUCCGUGCCUUUUGCUGAUAUGAGAGCAAACUCAAGGCCAUGCAACCGCAUCUUUCCCACCUCCCCCUCCCAGUUCCAAAUUUCUGCACUGCAGUGCAGCCUUGAUGGCAGCAAGCCCUGGCUUGCGGCUUCUCUUUCGAGCGCUUGAGGGCACUGUUGGAAUUUGGAACGAGGCUGAUCUGUGGGGUGAAGGAUUUGUUUCCUGCCACGCCAUGCAGAGGCACAUCAGGUUGCCAGGACUCUGGCUUCCACUGGAAGCCUUGCUGCUUGCAGGGAGGUGGACCGCUGGCACAACUACAUGCACCCAGACCCACUUCCUAAUGCCCUAAAGAACAUCACACUUUCCAAAGAGCAUCUUCAGCUUCUCCAGCAGGUCUGUGACCUGAUUCACCCCUAGAAAAUCCAGUUCCCAGGUUCUGUGGUUGCUAUCGCUGGGAUCGCUUGUCUGGGAUCUGUUACUAAAAGUGAUCAGGUUUCUUCCUGUUCUUUCACAGACAGCUUAGAAUUUCAGGAGAUUCCUUUCAGGAUGGGGCAUUGCCCUUAUCUUCAGCUGGGCAUCAGUGUUCAGCCCUGGUGCCCCUCCAGGCAUGACUUCAUCCCCAGCUCAACAUGCCUAGGCAUCUGUCCAUGAUGUCAGCUCUUAAGUCCCCCAGUAUUAGUGCCUGGCCUCCUUUAAUCCAAACCCCACCCAAAAUGUAGCCCGGAACUCACCCCUCACGUGCUGUAGGAGUAGCUGCUAUCUAUCACACUAUUUGUGAUCUCACCAACCUUGCAGUACAAAUUACUGUCCCACCUCCAGUACCCCUUCCUGUUGGGAUCUUUGUAGCAUCCCUUGAGCCUCUCCUUCCAGCCUUGUUGGUUCUCUAAUAAACCAAAAGACUGCAGAUUCAUAUGCGUGUGUGGUGCAAGACAUGCCCAGUUCAACUCAUACUUACAGUCUCAGAGCUAAUCUCCCAAGCCCCUCAAUAGCAGCUUCUUCAUGGUGACCUGGGAUCACUGGGUGUAUGCACUGUGGUGAGCUGGUGGGUUCAUUGCCUGCCAGAGGGCACUGAGCACAAAACAGUUCCUAUCACUAAUGCAUUUUUCCAUCUACUGUAUUCCCUUCUGUCUGCUACACAACACUCAGCCAGCAUGUCUCAAACACCAGCAGCUACUGCUUGUUAGCAAUCAUUUCUCAUAACUGUUAGUCUUGUGACAUUUCCUUUGUGUUAGAUCUGCUUCUCUCAGCUUCUCCCCUACACAUUCCUCUUUACUACCUCAGCAGGCUCACGCUGAUGCAGACUUCCCUGCUCCAGAAUCAAAUAUCUAUUUCUUCUCCCAUGUCUUAGGUAAAAAACAAUAUCUCCGUGCUCUGGUGACAGCACCCAUCAACACCUCUCUCAGCUGUUCUACUGCUUCAUACACCAUUCCUGGCCUGAAGGGUCUGUUCUUCCAGAAAUCAUAUUCUCAUUUAGAUAAUAAAGGGUUUUUCUUUCAUUAUCCCAUCUUUACUCCCCGUGGCCAGCUCUGCACAUGGCCUCUUUUGCCUUCCAUACAUGUGCACUGGUUUGUCAGCGUUCCAGCAUCCUCGGUGGUCUGGGUCCCUCCAUUUGUCCAUUUGCUCUGUUUCUAGGUGCUGAUUUGUUUUCCUAUUAAUCUCCCUCCCUCCCUUGCUGCAACUCUCCCAAGACAGACCACAGCCAAUAUGUUUCAUGUAUCACAUGCUGCAUAAUAACACAAGGGAAAGGGACUCCACGCCUGUAACCCAGUUCUAAGAGCUAUUUCCAGGGGUGGCAGGUGCUGGCGGGGCUCCAGCCAUGUGCUCUCAUGCUGACUUAGCUGCUCUCCCUCCAAACUGCCCCCUGGGGCACAUGUCCCUCCGCACGUCCCACCCCAGUUGCUGCAAGGACCAUGUUCCUGUUAGGACAGAGCCUCCUACUAGUCCCCUUUUUGGCCCUCAGCACACACAGGCUGCUGCAUGCCAGUGCUCCCACCACAACAUUUUGCUUUCUCUGGAGGUGCAGAGGAUGGAGACUUCCAGUGUUGCCAAGUGCAGAGGUAGCACCAUGGGUUUCUUUCCAGUCAGCAGGGUUGAGCUGCAGAAAAAAAAAAGGGCUUGAUAUUCUCCACCACUCAGCCACACAGGUAGACUUGUGCCCUGCAUACCUGCAUGGGAAUAGUCCUGCUUCUAAAACUCCAUCACAUAGGAAGGUUUCAUCUGUAGUGCCUCAAACACUUCCAGAGGGUCAUUUCUCAUGGACUGGGACUUAUCCCCUGGGGUCAAUGGAGACGCAGUAGGAGAGGUCCUUAUGGUGUCACGCAGCAAGGUGGGACCUAUCCCCAGCAACCAGCAGCCUGCAUGCCAUCCUUUCAGUAUCCCAGUCCCAAAGCCUGGCAGGACAUUUUGGGAAGUGGUGUUGCAUAGCUGGCUCUUUUAUCAGGGAAAAUCAGCAUAUGGAGUUGCUGGUAAUCAUUUCUCUAUCAUCAUGCCACAGCUGCUUGUCCCUGCCAUGUGCUGACACAGUUACUCGUGCUAAAGAUUGAGCUGUGGAGGUAAAUAUAACCCAGACCAAUAACUCUGUCUGCUCUCUGUUGCAACCCACACUCAGGUGAACGGGGGCAGUGGAGGGAUGUUGAGGUGUGAGAGGAAGGAGGGGAAUUAAUACAGUCACCUCUGUCACAUGCUGAGUUACUCCAUCUGUGGUGAGAGGGUGCAAAGGGGCUGCUAGUUUGGCUACUAGGGAAUGGUAGCUGUCGUGAUCAGGGCUCAGCAAUCACUCUGUUUGCUGACUAACUUGUGGACUGAAAGACUGCUACCCAGAAAAUGCAGUUCACAAGGAGUAUUUUUUCUGUAUUUUUCCUUAUUGGCUCACAUUUGGGUCAUUUCUAAGGCUCCAGAUUCCUCACCACGUGGGGAGGGCAUGCUCCUGGGCAGAGGAAAGCUGAUCUGCAUCCUUCUGGGUACAGGAGCCCCAUCUGGCUCUCCUGGGGCACAGCAAACCUGGCUGACACUAUUAAAGCACAGAGACCCGGCUGUGGCUGCAGCAACCCUGCCUGACAGCACAAUUCCUGUACAAAUCACCGGGUCAUGGAAGUCACAGCAUUUAUAAAUACUGAUCCUGACUUUGGGGAAGCUGAGCAUUUUGGAGAGGGAGGCUUUUCCAAAUAGUAUUAAAUAGAGAUGUCGGAGUUAUUUUGGGUUCUGUCAACAGCGUGGGUCUGUGUGGCUGUCCUGUGUGCAGUACAUCAGCCUGGUGAUGCUGCCUGCUGCUCUCUCCCCCUUGGCACUUCAGAAGGGGCUCUGUGUCCCUGGGCUCCAGCAGCUCGAGGCCAUGCCCACUGCCUAGGGGAGUGUGUUCCAUGCCCACCACCCUCUGGAGCAGAUAAUGCAAGAUUCAGCAUUGAAAGCUUUGCUGAAAUACCGAAAGAUUGCGUUGACGCAUUUGCCUUGGUCAACUAUAUGGGUAACCUUGUCAUAAAAGGAAAUUAAGUGAGUAAUCUCCUGGGAUGGGGAACCUCCAGAAAGAGGAAGUGUUUCAAUCAUGGUAAUUGGUUUCAAAUUCAACCACAGCAUCCGAAGUCGCCAUUGAAGAUCAGAGCUCCCAAGUGGAGCUAGAGGGACACCCUAUGACCUGUCCUGGGACCCUGUGAACCAGAGGUCUUCCUCUCUGUGGAAUUUUAGAGACCUAAGUGUGAUUUGGGUCAGCAUCGGGAGAAGAAAUGCCCUCUCAUCUCUGGACAGAAAUGUGCAUCCGUUGCAUCACACAAGUAUGGAGACAGCCAAGGCUGUCAGCUCUCCAUUGCCAUUCGUUGCAGUGGCCCAUAUACAUAAUAGCAAGGUGCAAUACAGUAGCCACAUGGUGUACUGUGAUGCCAAACUGGGUUCCUGAAUCAACAGCAGGCAAGUCCCCAGCACCCUUCUAGGCAGAGGUAGUAGAGCUUGGGAGGAACCAGCUCUGAGCUCGACCCCAUGGAGAAGGGCAGGGUUAGGUCAAACCUAGCAGGUGCUAUGGGAACAAGCACUGGGCUGGCACAUACUCAUUCUGAUCUCUCCUUUCUUAUUGAGCUCUACAUCUCAAGAACAAGUGGUGUUUCUCGCGCAUCAGUAUUGGGAGCAGUGCUGUUUAACAUCUUAGCUGUCAAAAUGGACAGUCACACACAGUUCUGUCCUGCACCACCUCCUUCUGGAUUCCCCUGGCACUGUGGACGGGAGUUGGCCUCUUGGACUCCCCUGCCUUGACCCAGCA
Gallus gallus (chicken) is the source of this 5384-nucleotide long non-coding RNA. RefSeq lists it as uncharacterized. Lineage: Eukaryota; Metazoa; Chordata; Aves; Galliformes; Phasianidae. The transcript has 3 exons. The record is from RefSeq and is a predicted model, not a curated record.